GACGAACGCUGGCGGCGUGCUUAACACAUGCAAGUCGAACGGAAAGGCCCUGCUUUUGUGGGGUACACGAGUGGCGAACGGGUGAGUAACACGUGAGUAACCUGCCCACAACUUUGGGAUAACGCUAGGAAACUGGUGCUAAUACUGGAUAUGUGCUCCUGCUGCAUGGUGGGGGUUGGAAAGCUCCGGCGGUUGUGGAUGGACUCGCGGCCUAUCAGCUUGUUGGUGGGGUAGUGGCCUACCAAGGCGGCGACGGGUAGCCGGCCUGAGAGGGUGACCGGCCACAUUGGGACUGAGAUACGGCCCAGACUCCUACGGGAGGCAGCAGUGGGGAAUAUUGCACAAUGGGCGCAAGCCUGAUGCAGCAACGCCGCGUGCGGGAUGACGGCCUUCGGGUUGUAAACCGCUUUCAGCAGGGACGAAGCUUUUUGUGACGGUACCUGCAGAAGAAGCACCGGCUAACUACGUG
Molecule: ribosomal RNA, 469 nt
Filed under: uncultured bacterium
Lineage: Bacteria
Description: partial 16S ribosomal RNA
Rfam family: Bacterial small subunit ribosomal RNA
Source: RNAcentral